AUCGCGUCUCGGCCUUUUGGCUAAGAUCAAGUGUAGUAUCUGUUCUUACCAGUUUAAAAUUUUUUGUGUUGUUGAUGUUGUUGAUGUUGUUGUUCUUUUAAAUAGAGAAUUCCAAUCAUUCAUCUUAUUUCUCUGUUAAGGCAAACCUGU
This 150-nucleotide small nuclear RNA is filed under the name Otolemur garnettii (small-eared galago). RNAcentral describes it as "U2 spliceosomal RNA". It matches the Rfam family "U2 spliceosomal RNA". Rfam says of the family: U2 is a small nuclear RNA (snRNA) component of the spliceosome (involved in pre-mRNA splicing). Complementary binding between U2 snRNA (in an area lying towards the 5' end but 3' to hairpin I) and the branchpoint sequence (BPS) of the intron results the bulging out of an unpaired adenosine, on the BPS, which initiates a nucleophilic attack at the intronic 5' splice site, thus starting the first of two transesterification reactions that mediate splicing. The record is from Rfam by way of RNAcentral. Lineage: Eukaryota; Metazoa; Chordata; Mammalia; Primates; Galagidae.